This 447-nucleotide ribosomal RNA is filed under the name uncultured bacterium. Its description in RNAcentral is "partial 16S ribosomal RNA". It matches the Rfam family "Bacterial small subunit ribosomal RNA", at positions 330 to 793 of the family's 1533-position model. The record is from RNAcentral.
GCCAGACUCCUACGGGAGGCAGCAGUGGGGGAUAUUGCACAAUGGGGGGAACCCUGAUGCAGCGACGCCGCGUGGGUGAAGGAGCGUUUCGGCGCGUAAAGCCCUAUCGGCAGGGAAGAAGGAGGACGGUACCUGACUAAGAAGCCCCGGCUAACUACGUGCCAGCAGCCGCGGUAAUACGUAGGGGGCAAGCGUUAUCCGGAUUCACUGGGUGUAAAGGGAGCGUAGACGGCGACGCAAGUCUGGAGUGAAAGCCCGGGGCCCAACCCCGGGACUGCUCUUGGAACUGCGCGGCUGGAGUGCAGGAGAGGUAAGUGGAAUUCCUAGUGUAGCGGUGAAAUGCGUAGAUAUUAGGAGGAACACCAGUGGCGAAGGCGGCUUACUGGACUGUAACUGGCGUUGAGGCUCGAAAGCGUGGGGAGCAAACAGGAUUAGAUACCCUCGUAC